GCCCGGGUAGCUCAAUUGGCUAGAGCGUGGGACUUUUAAUCCCAAGGCUGGGGGUUCGAGCCCCCCCUCGGGCG
Claviceps sorghi is the source of this 74-nucleotide non-coding RNA. The record is from the annotation of a GenBank genome assembly. NCBI's taxonomy places the organism in Eukaryota, Fungi, Ascomycota, Sordariomycetes, Hypocreales, Clavicipitaceae.